Molecule: long non-coding RNA, 1340 nt
Organism: Cryptomeria japonica (Japanese cedar)
Lineage: Eukaryota; Viridiplantae; Streptophyta; Pinopsida; Cupressales; Cupressaceae
Exons: 3
Source: RefSeq, a predicted model, not a curated record
UUCAAAUGUAAAAAUUUGAAUUCAUUUAAGAGUAAACUAGGAUAAUUGAAAAGGCAUUCUAGACAUUUCACCAAAGAAAAUUGGACCGUUGUUGUGGGAAAAAGCAUGAAUGUGAGAAAAAGCAUAUGAACGUUGUCAUGGAGAGCGGGUGAGAAAAAGCAUAUGAACGUUGUCAUGGAGAAUUAAGAAAAAGCCUGAAUUUCUGCACUGGAAUCCCCUAUUUAAUAGGACAUCUUCAAUUUCAAAGCCUGAAAUAUACCAAUUUUUUUAGAUGGCUCUCGAAGAGCUUUGCACUUCUGUUAUCUACAGAGAGUGUUCCUUGUUUGAAUGUUUUUGGUCUUCUAUCAAUGCUUUCCUCUGUUUUCUUGUUCUUUCUCUCGUUACAAUUUUGUUUUGUUUUUUCUUUGGUUUUUUCAAUUUUUUUGGCGAGGGUUUUGUUCGGCGUGCACGCUGGAUUGUCUGUGUGAUUUGUCCUGUUUUUUUUUGUUUUCUUUGUUUUUGGUUUCCUGGUUUUACUGUGAGGAAGAGGCAGAGCAAAGGGAGGACAGAGGAAGAGGCAGAGCAAAGGAAGCCACCAGUAAGAGGAAAAUUUCUUCUUCUAGGAUGAAGGUGAUGGCUAAAGGUGGUUCUAGGGCUUGUAAUUUUCUACGAAUAGGGUGAUUGCAAACCACCAUUUGUCUGCCAGAAUAGAGGAAGAGGCAGAGCAAAGGAAGCAGCAGUUGAUGGAGGAAAAUUUAGAUGAAAGAAGACCAGGCCAGAACAAGGACGACCUUCUCCAGCCCAGCAUCAACAAGGACGACCUUCUCCAGCCCAACCUCAUCAAGGACGACCUCUUCCAGUCCAACAUUUGAAGUGUCAGACAAGGUGGCAUCCCAGUCAUCACUCCUCCAGUUGGAUUGGUCCACCUCAGUGUGUCCAGAUUCAAUGUACCUGACUCAUCAAAGAUGACACAAACUUCGAUGUACCUACCCCGGUUCUCCAUUGGUCGAAUAUUCCAGAGAAGACAUGUGUCCAAAUAAUGCAAUUAUUUCAUUGGCCAGAAUUGAGUUUGUUGUAACAAACCCUAAUUAGGGUUUCAUUGUAAAAUCUUGGCCAUUGAUCUCAAAUUGAUCUAAGCCAUUGAAUUGUAUUAUGGGCACUAUAUAAGCCUUGGCUCCUCAUUUGUAAAGGCUGAUAGUUAGUCAGUAGUUAGAAGGUGAAUAGUUAGCUAAUAGUGAAUAGUCAGUUGAUAGAAUAGCAAUUAGAGUAGAAUAGAAAGAGAAGGCAAAGAUUGUUGCCAAGAUGUUGUUGUAAAAGACUUGUAAAACUUCAUUGAAGAAAUGGUGAAAUCUAUGGGUCGA